UAGAGUUUGAUCAUGGCUCAGGACGAACGCUGGCGGCGUGCCUAACACAUGCAAGUCGAGCGAAGUGAUUUCGAAUGAAGUUUUCGGAUGGAUUUCGGAAUCAUCUUAGCGGCGGACGGGUGAGUAACGCGUGAGAAACCUGCCUUUCACAAAGGGAUAGCCUCGGGAAACUGGGAUUAAUACCUUAUGACACUUUAACCUCGCAUGGGGAAUAAUUUAAAGCGUAAAGCGGUGGAAGAUGGUCUCGCGUCCUAUAGCUAGUUGGUGAGGUAACGGCUCACCAAGGCGACGAUAGGUAGCCGGCCUGAGAGGGUGAACGGCCACACUGGAACUGAGACACGGUCCAGACUCCUACGGGAGGCAGCAGUGGGGAAUAUUGCACAAUGGAGGAAACUCUGAUGCAGCGACGCCGCGUGAAUGAUGAAGGCCUUCGGGUCGUAAAAAUCUGUCCUUGGGGAAGAUAAUGACGGUACCCAAGGAGGAAGCCCCGGCUAACUACUUGCCAGCAGCCGCGGUAAUACGUAGGGGGCGAGUGUUGUCCGGAAUUAUUGG
Molecule: ribosomal RNA, 552 nt
Filed under: uncultured bacterium
Lineage: Bacteria
Description: bacterial SSU rRNA
Rfam family: Bacterial small subunit ribosomal RNA
Source: RNAcentral